AUACCUUUCUCGGCCUUUUGGCUAAGAUCAAGUGUAGUAUUUGUUCUUAUCAGUUUAAUAUCUGAUACGUGGGCCAAUGGCCCACUCGGUAUUAAAUUAAUUUUUUUAGGGGAAGGGUCCACCACAGUAGCUUGCUACUGGGCCUUUAAGCAUCGCCCAUGCGUUACACUAUUGCACGGGCCUGACGCACCCCAC
Molecule: small nuclear RNA, 195 nt
Organism: Cornus florida
Lineage: Eukaryota; Viridiplantae; Streptophyta; Magnoliopsida; Cornales; Cornaceae
Product: U2 spliceosomal RNA
Exons: 1
Source: RefSeq, a predicted model, not a curated record